Molecule: long non-coding RNA, 2689 nt
Filed under: Helianthus annuus (common sunflower)
Lineage: Eukaryota; Viridiplantae; Streptophyta; Magnoliopsida; Asterales; Asteraceae
Description: hypothetical non coding rna
Source: RNAcentral
UUCCUUGAAAUCUUCUAUCUCUCACUUCUAGAGCAUCCUAGCUAUUGGGAAACUCCAAAUCAAGUUAUUUUCAUCUAAGGAUCACUUUGUAAGUGUUCCUUUCAGUUACAUUUCGUUUAGUAGGCUUUUAAAGCCGAAAAGCCAAGCGUUUACGAUAAACGCUUUGACUUUUAGCUAGACCUUAAAAGGUCAAGCCAUUGUUCGCAACGAACAUGGCUACGUGAUCAUAAUUAGGUAGGUGUUAAUCCCUCAAAAGGGCACCUCCUAAGAAUCACGUUUGCUUGGUCAAUUGACUAGUCAACGAAAGGGCACCUCCUAAGAAUCACGUUUGCUUGGUCAAUUGACUAGUCAACGUAAUAUUGUUUUAAAAGUCAACGGGUCAGUUUUUAAAAUAAUUGCGAUAUGAGUUUAGAAGUGUUCUAAAAUAAGUUUUUUCAUUUAAACAACUUGGUAAUAAUUAUUAGAACAUGUGUAAACAUGUUCGACUCGUCAAUUCCAGUUUUAGGGUCGGUUCACAACCGAAAGUCGCGAAGUUUGACUUCUGCGUUGACUUUCGAUUAUGAACUGAAUUAGAUUAGUUACUACUGAUUUUUAGGUUUCGUUAUGAUUGUAAGAUAAUGUAGCAUAACCCUAUAAGGUUAUAUUACACGAUCAUACUAGAAAUUUGAGUUUUUGCGCAUAUUCCGUUAAGAUGCCGUACUUUGACUAUUACGCCCUUUUUAGCAAAAAUAAGGUUUUAGACACCAAUAAGCUUUCAAAAAACUUAGAUACUGAUAUGUUAACAUGUUUAACAUAUUUCGAUGUUACGAACCUGAUCAUAAACUGAGUUUGCAUGAAAUAUCGUAAUUUAUGCUUUAAAUUUGACUAAAAUGCCCUUUAGGCGCAUAGAUCGGGUUUAAGCAUAAGUUUUCAUACCAAACUCAUUUCCUAUUGAUGUAAUAUCAUAAUUAGGAUAAUUUGGGAUAUCCAUUCAGUUUACAAAUUGAGUUUACGCAUAUAUUCUUGAAUUAUAUCCUUAAAUGACGAUAAUGCCCUUUUUGCACCUAAAAUGAUGUAAAAGCAUAAUUUUCAUACAAAACCUUUUUAUUACUGAUAUGUUAUAUUAAUUAACAUAUUUAGAUCAUAUAAACUUGAUCAUAACGUCAGUUUUCCUUAAACAUCGCACAUAUCUUCAUUUAGCGACUUUAACGCCGUUUCGGCUCGUAGGAUGGCGUUAAACCAUAACUACCAUUCAAGACAUGUUACCUACUGACUUUAUAAAUUUAUUUUAAAUAAUUUUAACAGUAGGUAUAUUAUAUAAACUCAUAUUCCCAAAUUAGCCUUCAAAACUAUGUGUGAAAUUACCAAAAUGCCCCUAUGGAGCGCAGUUUGGUUUUAAACUAUCAAACACACAUAUGUUUGAUAUCCUACUGAUAUUAUAUCAUUAAUAUAGUAUUUUCAAAGAAUGUUCAUGAUCGUAACAUCAGAUUGUACUCAAAUUCCUUUUAUACGUCAUAAAAUGACCAAAACGCCCUUAUGAGGUAUAGUUUGAUUUUAAAACCUUAAUGGGCAUACAAGUUGAUAUCCUACUGAUAUUGUAACUUGUUUAAAGUAUAUUGGCAUAUGGAACUUGUUCAUGACUUAUCCGGUUACUUGUCAUGGCUUAUACGCGUAUGGUUAGACUUACGUAACUAGUUUACGUAAGUUUACCGAAACGAGUUAAACCUUAUCAUUUUUACUUCAAAAUCCAUAAUGUAUUUAGGUUACCCAUAUUAUACAAGUCUUCAUACUUGUUGGGUCUAAAUUACAUUCCAUUCCGGUCAUCACUUAAUCUAGCGAAUUGUACUGUUUCUGAUACUUUAAGUUAGCUGGUUUAGGUCUAUGACCUAAAUAAGACCUGUUAGCAUUCUAAAUUAGUUAUAUAUUACCAUCAUUCCAAACUAGGGCCUCCCGGUAAAAGUUAUCUGCAUUUAGUUAGAUUGGAUACGGCUGAGUUAUAUAAAUUUUGCUGUGAAUCAAGUAGUAGCUCAGGUAAAUACUUUUAACUUAUUUUCCCUUAUACGGGCUUGGGAUACGGUAAAUUAUUACCGCUUGGUCAGGUAUGGUAUCACUUGGUCGGAUUGUGAUUGACAAAUCCACAAAACCCGUUUUAAUCUGUAUUGUUUGGUAACAUAAACAUUUGGGGGUUAAUGCGUCCGUGUCUUGGAUAUCCUUGGCUCAUUUAAUUGCAAAUGGCCACGACUUAAGCACGGGGUGUAGGCAUACACCUGACAGAUGCCAAUAUGCAAAUUACCCACGAGUUGGGGAUAACUCCUCUGUGGGUUUUAUAAGUGGUGUGUCGAUUAAUCAUGUCUCGGCUUCUAUCCCGGGCCCUAAACGUAUGACAAACAUGUAAAUCUGUAUACAAGAUUAUAAGUAUAAUUGUCCCAAGUUAUUAAUGAAUUUUCGUGCCUUGUGCCCUUAAACCAAUUUUCAUAAACAUUUUCAGAUGAGUCGGUACUAUACGCAAAUAGGGUGGGAGCUACUUGGUGUCAAUAAAGGAUCUUGCAAAUCCUUAGGGUGCCCUAAAGUCUGCUAAACUUCAUUUUGUACAUUUUAUAAUGAUCCGCAUGUGGAUUUAACAUUACAAGCUCGUACAUAAUUAUCAUUUCAGUAUUUUCAGACAAUUGGGUUGUAAUGAUAUUUUUAUAUUCCAAGACUUCCGUUGUGC